RNAcentral lists this ribosomal RNA (801 nucleotides) under uncultured soil archaeon. RNAcentral's name for it is "bacterial SSU rRNA". It matches the Rfam family "Archaeal small subunit ribosomal RNA", at positions 77 to 865 of the family's 1478-position model. The record is from RNAcentral.
UUCGGCACACAGCUCAGUAGCACGUGGCUAACCUGCCCUUGGGACGGGAACACCCCGGGAAACUGGGGCUAGAUCCCGAUAGGUGAAGAUUCCUGGAAUGGAUUUUUGCCGCAACGACGUUUAGGGCAUGCUUCUAGGCGUUGCCCAAGGAUGGGGCCGCGGCCGAUCAGGUUGUUGGUGAGGUAAUGGCUCACCAAGCCUUUAACCGGUUCGGGCCGUGGGAGCGGUAGCCCGGAGAUGGGCACUGAGACAAGGGCCCAGGCCCUACGGGGCGCAGCAGUCGCGAAAACUUCGCAAUAAGCGAAAGCUUGACGGGGCCAUCCCGAGUGCCAUCUGCUGAGGAUGGCUUUUACCCAGUAUAGAUAGCUGGGGGAAUAAGGAGAGGGCAAGUCUGGUGUCAGCCGCCGCGGUAAUACCAGCUCUCCGAGUUGUGGGGACGUUUAUUGAGCCUAAAGCAUCCGUAGCCGGCUGGGCAAGUCCUCUGUUAAAUCCAGCGACAAAUCGUUGGCCUGCGGGGGAUACUGCUCGGCUAGGGGGCGGGAGAGGCCGCCGGUAUUCUUGGGGUAGGGGUGAAAUCCUAUAAUCCCAGGAGGACCACCAGUGGCGAAGGCUGUCGGCUAGAACGCGCCCGACGGUGAGGGAUGAAAGCUGGGGGAGCGAACCGGAUUAGAUACCCGGGUAGUCCCAGCUGUAAACGAUGCAGGCUAGGUGUUAGGGCGGCUACGUGCCGCUCUAGUGCCGCAGGGAAGCUGUUAAGCCUGCCGCUUGGGGAGUACGNCCGCAAGCUGAACUUAAAGGCCA